UACGUAGGGUGCAAGCGUUGUCCGGAAUUAUUGGGCGUAAAGAGCUCGUAGGUGGCCUGUCGCGUCGGCUGUGAAAACUCGGGGCUCAACUCCGAGCUUGCAGUCGAUACGGGCAGGCUAGAGUUCGGCAGGGGAGACUGGAAUUCCUGGUGUAGCGGUGAAAUGCGCAGAUAUCAGGAGGAACGCCGGUGGCGAAGGCGGGUCUCUGGGCCGAUACUGACACUGAGGAGCGAAAGCGUGGGGAGCGAACAGG
RNAcentral lists this ribosomal RNA (253 nucleotides) under uncultured bacterium. RNAcentral describes it as "partial 16S ribosomal RNA". It matches the Rfam family "Bacterial small subunit ribosomal RNA", at positions 524 to 776 of the family's 1533-position model. The record is from RNAcentral.